This 271-nucleotide long non-coding RNA is filed under the name Ananas comosus (pineapple). RNAcentral's name for it is "long non-coding RNA (ACOM_LNC040432)". The record is from RNAcentral. Lineage: Eukaryota; Viridiplantae; Streptophyta; Magnoliopsida; Poales; Bromeliaceae.
UUGUAUUACAUUUAUGAAUUUAUUAUAUAAUUGUGCAACAUAGUAAAAUAAUGAUGUGACAGUUGCGUAAUAGUGCAAUAACGUACCAUCCAUACCAAUCAGCGGCAUGCAGUGCUUCCUGAAUGCUCGAAUCGUUGCACCGAAUGCCUAGAAAAAACGGUGAAAAUGACCCUCGUCCUGGUAAAGUAAUUGGAGACAUGUUUCCGCAUCUCCACUCCUCAACUCUUGCAUGUACGAGGGAAGUAGAGCGAACGAGCCCUCGAAAUCGCCG